This 253-nucleotide ribosomal RNA is filed under the name uncultured bacterium. RNAcentral describes it as "partial 16S ribosomal RNA". It matches the Rfam family "Bacterial small subunit ribosomal RNA", at positions 524 to 776 of the family's 1533-position model. The record is from RNAcentral.
UACGGAGGGUGCAAGCGUUAUCCGGAUUUACUGGGUUUAAAGGGUGCGCAGGCGGAUGUGUAAGUCAGUGGUGAAAUCUCCGGGCUUAACCCGGAAACUGCCGUUGAUACUAUAUAUCUUGAAUGCUGUGGAGGUAAGCAGAAUAUGUCAUGUAGCGGUGAAAUGCUUAGAGAUGACAUAGAAUACCUAUUGCGAAGGCAGCUUACUACGCAGAUAUUGACGCUCAUGCACGAAAGCGUGGGGAUCAAACAGG